This 1019-nucleotide long non-coding RNA is filed under the name Citrus sinensis (sweet orange). Its description in RNAcentral is "long non-coding RNA (CSIN_LNC001398)". Lineage: Eukaryota; Viridiplantae; Streptophyta; Magnoliopsida; Sapindales; Rutaceae. The record is from RNAcentral.
GCCUGUUGAGAAAUGUUGGCAACCCAUGGAUUAUCUGCCGGAACCUGAAUCGGAAGGAUUUUAUGAGCAAGUCAAGGAGUUGAGAGAAAGAUGCAAGGAAAUCCCUGAUGACUAUUUUGUGGUAUUGGUUGGAGAUAUGAUCACAGAAGAAGCCCUUCCUACUUACCAGACAAUGCUGAACACCCUAGACGGGGUUCGAGAUGAGACUGGUGCAAGCCUCACUUCUUGGGCAAUUUGGACUAGGGCUUGGACUGCUGAAGAAAACAGGCAUGGCGACCUUCUCAAUAAGUAUCUCUACCUAUCUGGACGUGUAGACAUGAAGCAAAUUGAGAAGACAAUUCAAUACCUGAUAGGAUCAGGAAUGGUGAGAUUCUCCUUUCCUAUUACUAAAUUCUAUAUAAGAGGACAAGCUUCUUCUGUUGUCUAUGCUGUGCACUUGAUUUUUCAGUAUUUAUGAGUUUGUUGUUUUCUUAGGAUCCUAAAACAGAAAACAACCCCUACCUUGGUUUCAUCUACACUUCAUUCCAAGAGAGGGCAACAUUUAUCUCCCAUGGGAACACAGCCAGACAUGCCAAGGAUUAUGGAGACUUGAAACUUGCACAGAUAUGUGGCAUCAUUGCCUCUGAUGAGAAACGCCAUGAAACUGCCUACACCAAGAUUGUGGAGAAGCUCUUUGAAAUUGAUCCAGAUGGCACUGUCAUGGCUUUAGCUGAUAUGAUGAAGAAGAAAAUAUCAAUGCCCGCCCAUUUAAUGUAUGAUGGCCGGGAUGAUAACCUAUUUGAACACUUCUCAACAGUUGCCCAGCGGCUCGGAGUCUACACUGCAAAGGACUAUGCUGACAUUUUGGAAUUUCUGGUGGGUAGAUGGAACAUAGAAAAGUUGACGGGUCUUUCGGGAGAGGGCCGUAAAGCUCAAGAUUUUGUUUGUGGUUUGCCUCCAAGAAUUAGAAGGUUGGAGGAGAGAGCUCAGGGAAGGGCCAAGCAAGCAUCCGCUGUACCGUUCAGCUGGGUGUUCGGCAG